Molecule: non-coding RNA, 56 nt
Filed under: Trypanosoma lewisi
Lineage: Eukaryota; Euglenozoa; Kinetoplastea; Trypanosomatida; Trypanosomatidae
Source: RNAcentral
AUGUAUAAAUAAGAACACCACUAACGCUGAUAGAUAUAUAGUGAGAUGAAUUAUGU